CAUGCAAGUCGAACGGAAAUCUUUUAGAUUUUAGUGGCGAACGGGUGAGUAACACGUAAGCAACCUGCCUUUAAGACGAGAAUAACAAUUGGAAACAGUUGCUAAGGCUGGAUAGGAAAUAAAAAGGAAUCUUUUUAUUUUUAAAAGACCUUUUUCGGAAGGUAUGCUUAAAGAGGGGCUUGCGUCACAUUAGUUAGUUGGUAGGGUAAAGGCCUACCAAGACGAUGAUGUGUAGCUGGACUGGGAGGUUGAACAGCCACAUUGGGACUGAGACACGGCCCAAACUCCUACGGGAGGCAGCAGUAGGGAAUUUUCGGCAAUGGAGGAAACUCUGACCGAGCAACGCCGCGUGAACGACGAAGUACUUCGGUAUGUAAAGUUCUUUUAUUGAAGAAGAAACAAUAGUGGAAAAACUAUCUUGACGUUAUUCAAUGAAUAAGCCCCGGCUAACUAUGUGCCAGCAGCCGCGGUAAUACAUAGGGGGCGAGCGUUAUCCGGAAUUAUUGGGCGUAAAGGGUGCGUAGGCGGUUUAAUAAGUCUCUAGUUUAAUUUCAACGCUUAACGUUGUCCUGCUAGAGAAACUGUUUAACUAGAGUGAGAUAGAGGUAAGCGGAAUUCCAUGUGUAGCGGUAAAAUGUGUAAAUAUAUGGAGGAACACCAGAGGCGUAGGCGGCUUACUGGGUCUUUACUGACGCUGAUGCACGAAAGCGUGGGGAGCAAACAGGAUUAGAUACCCUGGUAGUCCACGCCGUAAACUAUGAGUACUAAGUGUCGGGGUUAAACUCGGCACUGAAGUUAACACAUUAAGUACUCCGCCUGAGUAGUACGUACGCAAGUAUGAAACUUAAAGGAAUUGACGGGAUCCCGCACAAGCGGUGGAUCAUGUUGUUUAAUUCGAAGAUACACGAAAAACCUUACCAGGUCUUGACAUACUCUGCAAAGCUAUAGAAAUAUAGUGGAGGUUAUCAGGGAUACAGGUGGUGCAUGGUUGUCGUCAGCUCGUGUCGUGAGAUGUUAGGUUAAGUUCUAAAACGAGCGCAACCCCUGUCGUUAAUUGCCAGCACGUUAUGGUGGGGACUUUAGCGAGACUGCCAAUGAAAAAUUGGAGGAAGGUGGGGAUUACGUCAAAUCAUCAUGCCCCUUAUGAUCUGGGCUACAAACGUGAUACAAUGGCUAUUACAAAGAGUAGCUGAAACGCGAGUUUUCGGCAAAUCUCAAAAAAAUAGUCUCAGUUCGGAUUGAAGUCUGCAACUCGACUUCAUGAAGUUGGAAUCGCUAGUAAUCGCGAAUCAGCAUGUCGCGGUGAAUACGUUCUCGGGGUUUGUACACACCGCCCGUCAAACCACGAAAGUGGACAAUACCCGAAAGCGACAGCCUAACUGCGUAAG
This 1388-nucleotide ribosomal RNA is filed under the name 'Colpoptera sp.' lethal yellowing phytoplasma. RNAcentral describes it as "bacterial SSU rRNA". It matches the Rfam family "Bacterial small subunit ribosomal RNA". The record is from RNAcentral. Lineage: Bacteria; Bacillati; Mycoplasmatota; Mollicutes; Acholeplasmatales; Acholeplasmataceae.